RNAcentral lists this ribosomal RNA (462 nucleotides) under uncultured bacterium. RNAcentral describes it as "partial 16S ribosomal RNA". It matches the Rfam family "Bacterial small subunit ribosomal RNA", at positions 28 to 507 of the family's 1533-position model. The record is from RNAcentral.
GACGAACGCUGGCGGCGUGCUUAACACAUGCAAGUCGAGCGGAAAGGCCCUUCGGGGUACUCGAGCGGCGAACGGGUGAGUGACACGUGAGUAACCGUCCCCAGACUUUGGGAUAACCCUCGGAUACGGGGGCUAAUACCGGAUACGACACAGCUUCGCAUGGGGUCUGUGUGGAAAGGUAUGCGGUGUGGGAUGGGCUCGCGGCCUAGCAGCUUGUUGGUGGGGUGGUGGCCUACCAAGGCGAAGGCGGGUAGCCGGCCUGAGAGGGUGACCGGCCACACUGGGACUGAGACACGGCCCAGACUCCUACGGGAGGCAGCAGUGGGGAAUAUUGCACAAUGGGCGGAAGCCUGAUGCAGCGACGCCGCGUGCGGGAUGACGGCCUUCGGGUUGUAAACCUCUUUCGGCUGGGACGAAGCGUAAGUGACGGUACCUGCAGAAGAAGCACCGGCCAACUACGUG